Molecule: ribosomal RNA, 891 nt
Filed under: Eudistylia vancouveri
Lineage: Eukaryota; Metazoa; Annelida; Polychaeta; Sabellida; Sabellidae
Description: eukaryotic LSU rRNA
Rfam family: Eukaryotic large subunit ribosomal RNA
Source: RNAcentral
GAUUCCCCUAGUAACGGCGAGUGAAGCGGGAUGAGCCCAGCACCGAAUCCCCAGUCUCCGAGGCUGCGGGACCUGUGGUGUUUAGGAGAGCCUCUGGUGUGUGCGACUGGCGUCCGAGUCCUCCUGAUUGGGGCUUCACCCAGAGCGGGUGUCAGGCCUCUACGGCCCCGGUCGUCGCAUCUCUGAGCCUCCUCGGAGUCGGGUUGUUUGAGAACAGCCCAAAGGGGUGGUAACUCCAUCUAAGGCAAAUACUGACACGAGUCCGAUAGCGGACAAGUACCGUGAGGGAAAGUUGAAAAGAACUUGAAGAGAGAGUUCAAGAGUACGUGAAACCGUUUAGAGGCAAACGGAUAGGACCGCAAAGUCUACCCGUGAUAUUCAACUUGCUGAGGCGUUCGGGCGGUGGUUCCGGGAUCCCUAGGACUCGGGCUGUCGUCUGGGGCGUCCGGCGGGCGCACUUAUCGCGGGGAGAGCGCCACGACCGGUUUUCCGGCCGUCAAGAGCCCCGGUGGAAGGUAGCCCUACUCCGGUAGGGUGUUAUAGACACUGGUGGUGGGCCGGUUGGAGGACCGAGGAUCUUUGCCGUCGUAGGGGCGUUGGGUGGCUUGUGUCCGUUCGACUGGGAAGGACUGCUUGCAGUGCUUUCCGACCGCGGGUGUUUUCUUGCCCGGCUUCCCCCUGCGACCUUUAGGGUCAGUGGCGAAUCGGUCGGCACCCUAUCCGACCCGUCUUGAAACACGGACCAGGAGUCUACAUGUGCGCGAGUCAGGGGGUCUUCGAAACCUAAGGGCCAAUGAAAGUGAAGGCCUUCCUUAGGUGGGCUUAGGGGGAUCCUGUCCUUCGGGGCGGGCGCACCACUGGCCCGUCUCUAUCGUAACCGAUGAGGCGAGC